RNAcentral lists this ribosomal RNA (492 nucleotides) under uncultured bacterium. RNAcentral's name for it is "partial 16S ribosomal RNA". It matches the Rfam family "Bacterial small subunit ribosomal RNA", at positions 29 to 507 of the family's 1533-position model. The record is from RNAcentral.
AGUGAACGCUGGCGGUAGGCCUAACACAUGCAAGUCGAACGGCAGCACAGUAAGCUCUUGCUCUUACGGGUGGCGGGUGGCGGACGGGUGAGGAAUACAUCAGAUUCUUCUUUUUCGUGGGGGAUAACGUAGGGAAACUUACGCUAAUACCUCAUACGACCUACCGGUGAAAUCAGUAGAUCUUCGCACCUUGCGCGUUUGAAUGAGCCGAGGUCGGAUUAGCUAGUUGGCGGGGUAAAGGCCCACCAAGGCGACGAUACGUAGCUGGUCUGAGAGGAUGAUCAGCCACACUGGAACUGAGACACGGUCCAGACUCCUACGGGAGGCAGCAGUGGGGAAUAUUGGACAAUGGGCGAAAGCCUGAUCCAGCCAUACCGCGUGAGUGAAGAAGGCCUUCGGGUUGUAAAGCCCUUUUGUUGGGAAAGAAAAGCAGCAGGUUAAUACCCCGAUGUUCUGACGGUACCCAAAGAAUAAGCACCGGCUAACUUCGUG